UUCGGCAAUUUCUUUUGAAUUCUUAAUUUUCUUUAUCAAGUUCUUCAGGUCAUAUUGUGAACUGUUAUAAGAUCUGACAUACACUCAGCUACAUUUUCAAAGGAUUCAAGCAACAUAGAUUGACAGACUAGGAUACCUUAAAAAAUUGAAGGAUGGAGGAAUGACUCUAUACAUUAUUUGCUUAGCGUGCAGUGUGGAAACCAUCCUUACAACGGAGAAAUUUGAG
RNAcentral lists this unclassified non-coding RNA (226 nucleotides) under Hevea brasiliensis (rubber tree). Lineage: Eukaryota; Viridiplantae; Streptophyta; Magnoliopsida; Malpighiales; Euphorbiaceae. The record is from RNAcentral.